AACUCCUCACAAAAUCCCUAAAAUGCCCCUCCAAAUAUUUCCAUCCCAUAUCGCUCAAAUUGGGGAAAUCAAUUCCAAGUUAUCCCUAUAAGCACUCCCUCAAUUUCAUUGUUUAAGAGGUUAGAGAGGUCGGAUAGCGGGAAUCCCAAAAAGCAUGGGAUUUAGCUAUCAAAGAAGGAUUUCGGUGCUAAGGAUUCUCUAAAACUCAACUUUGAGCUUGAAUUCCUGUGCUAAGAAAUUCGAGUGACCUUUCAACAGUGGUGAUUCCGACAAUAGCUCGAGUCCCGAUUUGUUGUCCCAUAAAAGGUAAACAUCUUUCUCUUUUAGUUUUCUUUUGCCGUAAUUAUGACUUUAUUAGCAUCGUAAUGAUGUUGCUGGGGUUAUUUACUGUAGAAAGCUUCGAAGGCUAUAGGAAUUAUGUGUGAUGAAAAUUUGUAAUAGUUUCGCCUUAGUUGUUCGUUGCUGGAUUUCUGUGAUGACCUUUUCAUCCUUUACUGUUGGUUCCUGUUUAAGUGUGUCAAUUAGUAUGAAAUUCAUCUUUUACCUUGCUUUCUUUUUCACUUGAACUGAUUGAUUGUAAACAAAUUUAUAAGGUGUCGUUUUGAUUUACUGGGAUUUUUCGUACUUGUUUCUAGUCCGUUAGAACAAGUUUUCUUAAGUUCGAAAUGUCCUUCUCACAGUUAAUAUUGUUGGCAAUCACUGUUGGAUUCUACAUAAAUUAUAUUUUUGGAAAUGUCAUGAUCUCUCUUUUGUCAUCAUAAGAUUGGUUUUGCCUACUUUCAUGUUUGAUUUUGUUAUUGCUUCAAUUGGCUUGGUUUGAAAUACAUGUUUUAAUAAUAGAGUUAGCUCACACCUAGCCUCACGCUUUCUUUCUUUUCUAUUACCGCUUUACCAGAACGAAGUUAGAGUCUUGCUCAUAUUUUGAUUACGUUCACUGAUUUAAUUUGUACUUGAAGAAAUUUUUGGCUUGCUAUUCUGAUGCUUUAUUGGUAAAAUAAUGAAAUGUUCUAGUUUUAAUAUGGGUAAUUCGUCCAUAAAACCUUUCAAUCAGCUUGUAAAGUGUUUACGUGUCAUCUGUGUUUCUUCUGUCUCUUCCUAAUUCCAAACUUUGACAGUAAAUGUAUUUCAGCAAUUUGGUUGCAAAGACAUCUCGGAUAUGGUAAAUUUGUUACCAUGUUUAAAGUGUUUGCUUAAAGAGUAUAUGAUUGUUUGAGUGUAUUCUCGUCCCUUUUCUUCCUCUCUAUGUGAUGAUCUGAAGAUAUUUUGUAAAAUAAUUAACCAUAAGUAUGCACAAGAUCAUAUAACUUUCCUCGUCUGUUCCCAGUUGAUAUUAUUAUCUAAAUAAGUAUCUCAAUGAUUGGCCUGUGAAACAGUUUUCUUUAUACCCGGUUGUGUGGCUAAGAAAAAUAUUCUUUUGCUGAAAUUACAUGAUGUUUGCUUUGGUUUGGAUAGUGCUUUUGUUGCCUUUGAAAACUUAAAUGAACACUCUUCUAAGGAUGUAAGCUCCCGUCCCUUCUAUUCUAUUCAUUUCCCCAAUUUUUUGUGAUUGAAUAGAAAUUUUCUUAAUAUGCAUAGUUCAAUUUAGCUUAGAGUCGAUCAUUAUCCUUUCUUGGAGUCUAUUGUGUAGUUAUUUAAAAUGUGUAGCAAUGAUUCAUUGAAAGAAUAACUCAUUAACAGGGCUAAUGUCUUUCUCUGGAAAAUUUUGAACACAAAUAUUAUACCUCAUGUCACCCCUUUCUCCGAUUAUUUGCUUUGGUGUUCAAUUUUUCUGAGUUAAUUUAAGUUGAAUUAUUUUGAACUUUACACUAACUUCUUUUACAUUAUCUUUUGCCUUUCACGUGAAGCUGAUGAGUCCUAAGAGGACUCCAAUUUCCCUAUUGCUUUUUCGUUGGGCCAAAACCCAACUAUCUUCGAGUCAUAUUCGACGCAAAAGAGCUAAUGCGCAAGAUAGACUAAAAAUGAAGAAAGGAGGAUAGUAUACAUAUGGGAGAUCAAAUAUACAAGUAUAGGUGGCCAAGUAUACAAGUUGUAUACAUUUGAUAUACAGGAAAGUGAGCAAAGAAUAUUACUGAUAUACAAUUGAUAUACACAGUGAUAAUGGACCAAGUCCAUGAGUCCAACAUAUGGACAACUUUCAGAAAAGGAAAAAUUGCAGAAACUAACAUCCUUAAGACUAUAAUUACAAUAAAUAACAAUACUUUUUUAAAAUUACAACUUAUAGCAAAGGUAGCAAUAUUUUACACACUUCAUAGUAAUAGAAGAAUAUGUAUUUUUCAAUUGUUCAUAUGUAUUUAUGAGUAAUACAUAUAUAUUUGUAUAUGUAUUUAUAUAGCAACAUUUUACUUAAAUACAAAUACAAUUUGCAAUUUUUCAUAAUUAUGAAACUGUUGCUAUAAAAGGUAUAAUUAAGGCUACAGAGUUGCUAUUUCUGAAAUUUUUCCUUCAGAAAAUAGGCAGAUAAGAGGCCCAAACUUCAAAUUUUCUCCAUUCAUUUUUGUAAUUCAUACUUGGUUUAUGUGCUUGUAUUAAACUCUUAAAUUUGGUUAAAUCUAAAUAGGAAAAAAUUCACAUACUUAAGGCCCUAAUUAUUAGUUUUAUAGCAACAGUUUCAUAAUUACAUUUUGU
This 2625-nucleotide long non-coding RNA is filed under the name Capsicum annuum. Its description in RNAcentral is "long non-coding RNA (CANN_LNC006434)". The record is from RNAcentral. Lineage: Eukaryota; Viridiplantae; Streptophyta; Magnoliopsida; Solanales; Solanaceae.